This 2513-nucleotide long non-coding RNA is filed under the name Medicago truncatula (barrel medic). RNAcentral's name for it is "long non-coding RNA (MTRU_LNC001390)". The record is from RNAcentral. Lineage: Eukaryota; Viridiplantae; Streptophyta; Magnoliopsida; Fabales; Fabaceae.
UUAAAUAUAAUCUCUUAUAAACGACGAAUUGGUACGAAUAAGUUAACAAUGUGUUUAGAAAUAACAAACAUUCGCAAUCACUAUUGGAGCAUAUAAUAAAUGCAUCAACAAUGCCAUAACACGUGUAAUCAAAAGACAUAUUGACGGACAGGUCCCAUAACAAUAUUAGUCAUUAACGGUCUCAAUUGAAGAUAGGCUCACGAAUAUUAGGCAUAAGCAGUCUUAACUAGAGCAUACAUUAAUGGAUUAACAAUUUAAUAUCACAUCUUCUCAAAGGAUUCAUUUACGGGUAGGUCCUACAACAAAGAUGGCUAAACAACAUCCAGAGUUGUCUUUCAAUUAACUUGAAAAAAAGAGAAAAAUGCAGACAGUUUUAUAGGUAUGAGUGCUCAUAUUAACAUAUAUAACUUGAUUUUAACAUGUUAGAAACUGAAAUCUACAUAAUAUAAUUGAACAUACCAAUAGAGAUCAUGUCCUUUAGAUUGACAGAAGGAUUGAGCAGCUAAUAUUGUUCAUCAGUGGUUGUGAAAAUAUUGCUAAUAACAACACGUACAUACUGAAAUACCUAGCAAAAACACGGUAGAAACUAAAAUAGUCAUUUACAGUUCAACACCAUUAAGGAUAACUUAAAAUUUGAUGAAUAUCAUAACAACACUUAAUUGCAUCUUAUUGUAAAUAGUUCAUGUUGUGUAUUGAAUUAGAAAUUUAAAUUCUAUAGAAGAAUCGUCACCAAGAUGCUUUCAAAGGCGUAGAAGAAUCUAAAUGGUAACAACAAUGCACACAAAGCAGACAUAGAAACUGCGGUGGCAAAAACUCUUACAACAAUGCAAUGAAAGGCGUAGAAACAGUCAUGACCAAAUCAAAGCGCUUAAUUAGCAAAACAAAUCUUUCUUUUAACUAUCAAAUACCAACACAAAAUGUCUACCUAAAUUUGAUAAAAUGAGCGAGAGAGAAUAAGAAUAAAAAAGACCUAUCAAACACUUAGAAUGAAAAAUGGAUUUCUUAAAAGGGAAUGACGUGUAACUGAUACUAAAAUUGACAAAAUGGUAGAUGCACUAUCUGCAUGGCAUGGAAUCUCUCUCAUACUCACUUUCACUGCAGUCAAACAACACCAUAAAGCAAUAAAAUUUGAUAUCAUAUAAUUUCACAAUGUCAAAAUCAAAGAAAAAUAAACUAUUUAGUUGUUCUCAAAUUCACAGAGAAUGAUUUGAUCCCAUAUGAUAAGCACAACAAUGCAAUGAAAGGCAUAGAAACAAUCAUGAAUUUUUUUUGUAGAUGCAAUGUGAAUCGGCCUUCACAUAUCAGAUCACACAACAUGACCAAAUCAAAGCGCUUAAUUACCAAAACAAAUCUUUCUUUUAACUACCAGUGGACCAAAACUCUAGUUCUAGAUUAUUAAAAGAUACAAAAUAUAGGGCGCCAAAUAUAUAAGACAACUAAAUCAUAGCAAGAAACUUUGAUAUGUAAAUAAAUCAAAAUUAGAUCUAGAAACAUCCAGUGUGUUGACAUCAAAAUAAUGGAAACCUUGUAGAAUUAUCCAAACAAUCCCAAGCUAUAUCAAGAUCAACAUUAGCUAUAUAUAGAAACAUCCAGUGUGUUGGCUGCAACCAAGAAUUGCCAUUUUUGCCAUGUUAUAUAGGUUUAUCCCACUAGCGGAGCUGAUAAAAAAUGUGAUUUUAUGUUGACAUAUUCAAAUUCUAAAAGUAAAAAUAGGUCAAGAUAUGUAGGAGUAACUUCAGACUUUGGUCAUUAUUCAUCAAGAAUAGAAAUAACAUGGCAUUAAGAAUCAUAGUCAUAGACUCAACCAUGCUCAACCACCCUAUCUACAGCUCAGCUCAAUCUAUCAAUGUAGUCCGAAAAAAAUGGAAAAUUUAAAAACUUACUCGACCAGUCCACAAAUAAAAGCACAAAAGAAAACCUUCAAAUAAGGCCUUUAUUUUGCCAAGGAAGCCUGUAAUGGUACACCAUAAUUGUUAAAUUCAAAAAUGGGAGGAGAAAAAACAAUAAGUUUUAAAUUACAGGCAUAAUGGGAGCUAUUAUCUAUUCCAUGUCUUGAUUUAAGAAAUGCACUGAGAAGACCUCAACUAAGUUUUAAUGAUCCUUUUAUCAAACAGUUAGAAUGCAAAGUAGCAUUUCUUUGUACUAUAAUUGUUCAUUUCUUUACCUAUAAUUGUGCAUUUCUUUGUACUAUCAAAUGAAGCCCUUACAUAUUGUUAAAUAUUAUUUCAACUUCACACUACCUGCAAGCAGAACAAUAAAAUAAAAUUAAAAAGCUCAAAAAUCCCAAUUGCCUAAAAAACCUACAACAAUUUAUAUAUGGUCUUUGGUGAAAAAACAAAAUGAAAAAACAACUAAAUAAAGAUUAAUUUACCAAUUAGCAAUCCAUGUAGAUGUCAUCAAGUCCAUAUUUGCAGCAACUCUUUUAUAGAACCUUGUACUGCACUUCAAUCAUUUGAAUGUUUAUCUUCAUAAACCAAAACAAAGAAUGAAAGUAAAUCAAUCAAUUUUAGUUU